This 253-nucleotide ribosomal RNA is filed under the name uncultured bacterium. Its description in RNAcentral is "partial 16S ribosomal RNA". It matches the Rfam family "Bacterial small subunit ribosomal RNA", at positions 524 to 776 of the family's 1533-position model. The record is from RNAcentral.
UACGUAGGUGGCAAGCGUUGUCCGGAUUUAUUGGGCGUAAAGCAUGCGUAGGCGGAUACUUAAGUGGGAUGUGAAAACCCGGGGCUCAACUCCGGACCUGCAUUCCAAACUGGGUGUCUAGAGUACAGGAGAGGAAAGGGGAAUUCCUAGUGUAGCGGUGAAAUGCAUAGAGAUUAGGAAGAACACCAGUGGCGAAGGCGCCUUUCUGGACUGUAACUGACGCUGAGGCAUGAAAGCGUGGGUAGCAAACAGG